Molecule: transfer RNA, 72 nt
Filed under: Rhodococcus phage Trina
Lineage: Duplodnaviria; Heunggongvirae; Uroviricota; Caudoviricetes
Description: tRNA-Gln
Rfam family: tRNA
About the family: Transfer RNA (tRNA) molecules are approximately 80 nucleotides in length. Their secondary structure includes four short double-helical elements and three loops (D, anti-codon, and T loops).
Source: RNAcentral
UUUCCCGUAGUGUAAUGGCAGCACGAGAUACUUUGGAUAUCUUUGACUAGGUUCGAGUCCUGGCGGGAAAGC